UUUGUUUUGUUUGUGAAUCAAAUGCUAUGUGUACCUGAGCAGGACUUAGAUAUACUUCUCUAUAUUCCCAGCCUCAUAUCUCAGUGCCUUCACCCAGAACAUUCUGUGCCUCCCCUGUGCUUCCCUGGAGCACUCUGCUCAUGGCUGGGGAGAGGCAGAGGAAUAGUCCCCAUGAGCUGCUCUACCACUGGGACCCCGAAAACUGAGAAGCUGUGAUCCUCCUAAUUGGAAGAGAAACUAAAGAGGAGCUCCUGUUAGUGGAUGUAGAGCUUGAAACCCUAGACCUCAGGCUCCAGAGGAAGAAGAGGAGGUGAACAGAAGAGCAGAAGUACAGCAGAAUGGCAUGGCAGAGAGAAGAGAAGGAACAUCUGAAAGCCAAGAGGAAUUUGGCAGGGGACAUUUAAAGAGGAGAUUGGCCACUGGACAGCCAAACUCGGGAAGAUUAUCUUCCCAAUCUAUCCCCCUUCCAGUUCCCCAUCCAUCCCACUGAGUGCCACCUCCACCACUCAGUAAAACCUCUGCAUUCAUCUUUCAGGUCUCCAUACACAAGCCUGGAGCCUGAAAGUCUGAAGUCCUGCUUGCCUUGGAUGAUGUCUCCCACCCUCUGCCUGUGUUCUCCAUUGUUCCUGGUCACCCAGCGGAGCUUCUGGGACAAGCCCCUCACCCAACCCUGCCAUCUUAACUGUUCUUAUGAUAAUGUGAAUACCUCUCACCCAGCCCUGCCAUUGUAACUGAACUUGUGGUCGUGUAUACUCCUUGCCCCACCCCCCACCACUGUAACUGAACUUACUCUGCAAGACCCCCACCCCCCAAAACUACCCAAAUCUAUAAAACCAUCUCCUAUCCCAGUGCCCUUUGCUAAUGCCCUUUUCAGCCUUAGCCCACCUGCACCCAGGUGAAAAAACAGCCAUGUUGCUCACACAAAGCCUGUUUGGAAGGUCCAUUCAUUCAAAGCAAGCAUUUUUCAACAGGUUUUCUGGGCCUUACAGAUGCUUCCUCUCCUGGGAUGCUCCCAUGGAUCUCAGGUAGUUCCCUUGUUUCUGAAACACUGAAACAAGCUGAAGGUGCAAUGGGACAAUACUGUGGGGAAGAGAAGAGGCAGAGAACUGAUAUUCUUUGUUACAAACCAUUUUACCCUAUUUUCUAUUCAUAGUAUACCUGUAUGACAUUAAGAAAUAAAAAUGUUAAAGAAAGGUAAGUUGAAAAAAAAUGAAAAAGAGGGCAGCAUAGAAGAAAUACUGUGAAAAGUUGGUCAAGGGUAAUUUACUGAAAAGCAGCUAACAUGCUGUAAGUUAUCUCAGGUCAACUUAGAACCCCAUCAAAUACCUAGGAGG
Callithrix jacchus (white-tufted-ear marmoset) is the source of this 1334-nucleotide non-coding RNA. The record is from RefSeq and is a predicted model, not a curated record. NCBI's taxonomy places the organism in Eukaryota, Metazoa, Chordata, Mammalia, Primates, Cebidae.